This 254-nucleotide ribosomal RNA is filed under the name uncultured bacterium. Its description in RNAcentral is "partial 16S ribosomal RNA". It matches the Rfam family "Bacterial small subunit ribosomal RNA", at positions 524 to 776 of the family's 1533-position model. The record is from RNAcentral.
UACGUAGGGGGCGAGCGUUGUCCGGAUUUAUUGGGCGUAAAGAGCUCGUAGGCGGUUCGGUAAGUCGGAUGUGAAAUCUCCACGCUCAACGUGGAGGGGCCAUUCGAUACUGCCGUGACUCGAGUCCGGUAGGGGAGUGUGGAAUUCCCGGUGUAGCGGUGAAAUGCGCAGAGAUCGGGAGGAACACCCGUAGCGAAGGCGGCACUCUGGGCCGGUACUGACGCUGAGGAGCGAAAGCGUGGGUAGCGAACAGG